UACUUCCCUAGACCUUGCAACCUAGCUUUUCUCCGUGACCGCUCUCUCCGACUCUCGCUCGACCCAGCAAGGGGAGCUCGGGUGAGAGGGAAGGAGGGGCGACGGCGGUCGGUAGGAGGGGCAGGGCGCGGAAGAGGAGGGGUAGCGGGGAGGGACGGCGUCUUCGUCGUCAGGGGCGGGCAGCGGGUUCUCAGCUUCGGGCGGUGGUUCGUCGGCGGGGGAGAGGAGAAGGAGGGUGGAGUAGGGAGAGAGGGGUAGGUUUGGGAUCGGGGCGUGGCCGGAAGGACGGGGCGGCGGCAGUAGAGGAAGCGGGCCAGCCGGCGGGGCGUGGCGUGCUCCACCCUACGCUCCUCCGUCCGCUCAGCGAGGUCGCUCCUAGGAUAGGGGUGGCGCGUCGAGACAUCGAGCGAGUCCGUGGGCUUGUGGCUGCGGUACCUCCUGCGACGAGGUGGGGACGAGGCCAAGCACGGGGGCUACGGUACCUCCUGCGGGGAGGUGGGGACGAGAUCGGACUUCCACUAUGCAACAUUAUACCGACGUGCAACAUUAGAACUGUCCAAACUGAACAAUAGACACUUACCUCUUUGUUUUUGACAUUACGUCCUCUAUUGAGUACCACGGACGUUGAUAGAGGAUUUUGGGCAAGCGUAGCUCCUCGAAUCCUUAUAGACCGUCGUAUUCCUACACUUCUACUAUAGCGGACUCAACAGGGUCUCGUGGUAUGGCCUCGGAGCAAAGGACGGACGCGAUCUUUUCGCGGCAGCCAACCCGCCGCGCAGCCAACCGAGCACCGCCGGAGUUCGUCGCGCCCUAAACCGUAAGUCCCUGCGGCAGUUCCCCAAGCAGCUAGACUGCUGCCGUUCCUCGCUGCGCCAGUGAGCUCCAACGCUGUCCCCGCGGUUUUACACCACGUGCGUCUAGACGUCUUCGACAGCGCACCUAGCACGCUCCACCGUUCCCCGCCGCCAAGCGCAGCGUACCCACGGCCGCUCCGCGCCACGCCUACGCCUUCCCCGCGUAGAACCCGACCGGCGAUCCCCGCCCGAGGCAGCCGGAGAGACGUAGUUCAGGCCGGACCACCGCCGAGAUCCGUCGCUGGUCAAAAACCGACAGCUCCACCUCCUGCACACCUCUAUGUCGCUCCCGUACACCUAACGGCCUAACCGACAGCUGAUC
Molecule: ribosomal RNA, 1176 nt
Filed under: Triticum aestivum (bread wheat)
Lineage: Eukaryota; Viridiplantae; Streptophyta; Magnoliopsida; Poales; Poaceae
Description: partial small subunit ribosomal RNA
Source: RNAcentral